CUAAGGGAAUCGCUUUAUUACGACAAAUACAAAGAUCUAAUAAAAGGUGUUGAACCAACAAAUAAUUUGUUAUUAAGAGUUAUAUAUUUUGAAAAAAUUGCAACAAUUCAAAGUCAAAAUAAAAAAGAAGCUAUCGAUGAAUUGGAAAAUACCAAGGAUAUAAUAAAAAAGUGUGAAUUAAGAAUAAAUGCUAUUAAAGCAACACUAGAUGAAAUAUCAUACAACGCAUAUGGAAAUGAAGAUAAAACUGCUAAAAGAUUGAAGAGUGAAAAGGAAUUUUUAAAUCAGAAAAUAAAUGUUUUAGUAUGUAUAACAACAGCG
Molecule: long non-coding RNA, 321 nt
Organism: Piliocolobus tephrosceles (Ugandan red Colobus)
Lineage: Eukaryota; Metazoa; Chordata; Mammalia; Primates; Cercopithecidae
Exons: 4
Source: RefSeq, a predicted model, not a curated record